This 346-nucleotide unclassified non-coding RNA is filed under the name soil metagenome. RNAcentral describes it as "partial contains 5.8S ribosomal RNA, internal transcribed spacer 2, and large subunit ribosomal RNA". The stretch from base 1 to 120 matches the Rfam family "5.8S ribosomal RNA", at positions 35 to 154 of the family's 154-position model. The record is from RNAcentral.
GAUGAAGAACGUAGCAAAAUGCGAUAAGUAAUGUGAAUUGCAGAAUUCAGUGAAUCAUCGAAUCUUUGAACGCACAUUGCGCCCGCUGGUAUUCCGGCGGGCAUGCCUGUUCGAGCGUCAUUUCAACCCUCAAGCCCCCGGGUUUGGUGUUGGGGAUCGGCUCUGCCCUCUGGGCGGUGCCGCCCCCGAAAUACAUUGGCGGUCUCGCUGCAGCCUCCAUUGCGUAGUAGCUAACACCUCGCAACUGGAACGCGGCGCGGCCAUGCCGUAAAACCCCAACUUCUGAAUGUUGACCUCGGAUCAGGUAGGAAUACCCGCUGAACUUAAGCAUAUCAAUAAGCGGAGA